AUUAAAAGCAGAAGAGUGGUAUUUAUUUGAUUGUACAAACAUACAGUGAAAUUUGUCCUCUGGAUUUAACCCAACCUAAUUACAGACA
Molecule: long non-coding RNA, 88 nt
Organism: Thalassophryne amazonica
Lineage: Eukaryota; Metazoa; Chordata; Actinopteri; Batrachoidiformes; Batrachoididae
Exons: 3
Source: RefSeq, a predicted model, not a curated record